GACGAACGCUGGCGGCGUGCCUAAUACAUGCAAGUCGAGCGAAGUUUUUCUGGUGCUUGCACUAGAAAAACUUAGCGGCGAACGGGUGAGUAACACGUAAAGAACCUGCCUCAUAGACUGGGACAACUAUUGGAAACGAUAGCUAAUACCGGAUAACAGCAUUAACUGCAUGGUUGAUGUUUGAAAGUUGGUUUUGCUAACACUAUGAGAUGGCUUUGCGGUGCAUUAGCUAGUUGGUGGGGUAAAGGCCUACCAAGGCGACGAUGCAUAGCCGACCUGAGAGGGUGAUCGGCCACACUGGGACUGAGACACGGCCCAGACUCCUACGGGAGGCAGCAGUAGGGAAUCUUCCGCAAUGGGCGAAAGCCUGACGGAGCAACGCCGCGUGAGUGAAGAAGGAUUUCGGUUCGUAAAGCUCUGUUGUUAGGGAAGAAUGAUUAUGUAGUAACUAUACAUA
RNAcentral lists this ribosomal RNA (457 nucleotides) under Gemella morbillorum. Its description in RNAcentral is "bacterial SSU rRNA". It matches the Rfam family "Bacterial small subunit ribosomal RNA", at positions 28 to 473 of the family's 1533-position model. The record is from RNAcentral. Lineage: Bacteria; Bacillati; Bacillota; Bacilli; Caryophanales; Gemellaceae.